This 2849-nucleotide ribosomal RNA is filed under the name Duganella sp. Root1480D1. Its description in RNAcentral is "bacterial LSU rRNA". It matches the Rfam family "Bacterial large subunit ribosomal RNA". Lineage: Bacteria; Pseudomonadati; Pseudomonadota; Betaproteobacteria; Burkholderiales; Oxalobacteraceae. The record is from RNAcentral.
GUUAUAGGGACAAGUGAAUAAGUGCACAUGGUGGAUGCCUUGGCGAUUACAGGCGAUGAAGGACGUAGWAGUCUGCGAUAAGCUUCGGGGAGCUGACAAACAAGCAUUGAUCCGAAGAUUUCCGAAUGGGGAAACCCGGCCUUAUAGGUCAUCACUCACUGAAUACAUAGGUGUGUGAAGCGAACGCGGCGAACUGAAACAUCUAAGUAGCUGCAGGAAAAGAAAUCAACCGAGAUUCCCAAAGUAGUGGCGAGCGAAAUGGGAAGAGCCUGUAUGUGAUAGUCGUUUGGAUAAUGGAACAGAUUGGAAACUCUGGCCAUAGCGGGUGAUAGCCCCGUACAUGAAAUCCARGCGGUGGUACUAAGCAUACGACAAGUAGGGCGGGACACGAGAAAUCCUGUCUGAACAUGGGGGGACCAUCCUCCAAGGCUAAAUACUCGUAAUCGACCGAUAGUGAACCAGUACCGUGAGGGAAAGGCGAAAAGAACCCCGGGAGGGGAGUGAAAUAGAUCCUGAAACCGUGUGCAUACAAACAGUCGGAGCCUCGWAAGGGGUGACGGCGUACCUUUUGUAUAAUGGGUCAGCGACUUACAUUCAGUGGCGAGGUUAACCGAAUAGGGGAGCCGUAGAGAAAUCGAGUCCGAACAGGGCGCCAGUCGCUGGGUGUAGACCCGAAACCAAGUGAUCUAUCCAUGGCCAGGUUGAAGGUGCGGUAACACGCACUGGAGGACCGAACCCACUAAUGUUGAAAAAUUAGGGGAUGAGCUGUGGAUAGGGGUGAAAGGCUAAACAAACUUGGAAAUAGCUGGUUCUCUCCGAAAACUAUUUAGGUAGUGCCUCAAGUAUCACCGACGGGGGUAGAGCACUGUUAUGGCUAGGGGGUCAUCGCGACUUACCAAACCAUUGCAAACUCCGAAUACCGUUGAGUGCGAGCUUGGGAGACAGACAUCGGGUGCUAACGUCCGGUGUCAAGAGGGAAACAACCCAGACCGCCAGCUAAGGUCCCAAAGAUUGGCUAAGUGGAAAACGAAGUGGGAAGGCUAAAACAGUCAGGAUGUUGGCUUAGAAGCAGCCAUCAUUUAAAGAAAGCGUAAUAGCUCACUGAUCGAGUCGUCCUGCGCGGAAGAUGUAACGGGGCUAAGCCAGUCACCGAAGCUGCGGAUAUGCAUUUAUGCAUAUGGUAGGAGAGCGUUCUGUAAGCCUGCGAAGGUGUCUUGUAAAGGAUGCUGGAGGUAUCAGAAGUGCGAAUGCUGACAUGAGUAGCGAUAAUGCGGGUGAAAAGCCCGCACGCCGUAAGCCCAAGGUUUCCUGUUCAACGUUCAUCGGAGCAGGGUGAGUCGGCCCCUAAGGCGAGGCAGAGAUGCGUAGCUGAUGGGAAGCAGGUUAAUAUUCCUGCACCGUCGUAUGAUGCGAUGGGGGGACGGAUCGCGGAAGGUUGUCUGMCUGUUGGAAUAGKCAGUUUCUGGUUCAUAGGAGGUACUUAGGCAAAUCCGGGUACGUAAUCCAAGGGACUGGGACGAGUGARCUUGYUCACGAAGCAAUCGGAAGUGGUUCCAAGAAAAGCCUCUAAGCUUCAGUCAUACGAGACCGUACCGCAAACCGACACAGGUGGGCGAGAUGAGUAUUCUAAGGCGCUUGAGAGAACUCGGGAGAAGGAACUCGGCAAAUUGGUACCGUAACUUCGGGAUAAGGUACGCCUCGGUAGCUUGACCACUUUACUGUGGAAGGGCGAAAAGGUUGCAAUAAACUGGUGGCUGCGACUGUUUAAUAAAAACACAGCACUCUGCAAACACGAAAGUGGACGUAUAGGGUGUGACGCCUGCCCGGUGCUGGAAGAUUAAAUGAUGGGGUGCAAGCUCUUGAUUGAAGUCCCAGUAAACGGCGGCCGUAACUAUAACGGUCCUAAGGUAGCGAAAUUCCUUGUCGGGUAAGUUCCGACCUGCACGAAUGGCGUAACGAUGGCCACACUGUCUCCUCCCGAGACUCAGCGAAGUUGAAGUGUUUGUGAUGAUGCAAUCUACCCGCGGCUAGACGGAAAGACCCCAUGAACCUUUACUGUAGCUUUGCAUUGGACUUUGAACCAAUCUGUGUAGGAUAGGUGGGAGGCUUUGAAGUAGGGACGCCAGUUCCUAUGGAGCCAACCUUGAAAUACCACCCUGGUUUGUUUGAGGUUCUAACCUUGGUCCGUAAUCCGGAUCGGGGACAGUGCAUGGUAGGCAGUUUGACUGGGGCGGUCUCCUCCCAAAGUGUAACGGAGGAGUUCGAAGGUACGCUAGGUACGGUCGGACAUCGUGCUAAUAGUGCAAUGGCAUAAGCGUGCUUAACUGCGAGACCGACAAGUCGAGCAGGUACGAAAGUAGGACAUAGUGAUCCGGUGGUUCUGUAUGGAAGGGCCAUCGCUCAACGGAUAAAAGGUACUCUGGGGAUAACAGGCUGAUUCCUCCCAAGAGUUCAUAUCGACGGGGGAGUUUGGCACCUCGAUGUCGGCUCAUCACAUCCUGGGGCUGUAGCCGGUCCCAAGGGUAUGGCUGUUCGCCAUUUAAAGUGGUACGUGAGCUGGGUUUAAAACGUCGUGAGACAGUUUGGUCCCUAUCUGCCGUGGGCGUUGGAAAUUUGAAGGGGGCUGCUCCUAGUACGAGAGGACCGGAGUGGACGAACCUCUGGUGUACCCUGAAAGCAUCUAAGCGGGAAACUUGCCUUAAGAUGAGAUUUCCCGGAGCCUUGAGCUCCUUGAAGGGUCGUUCGAGACCAGGACGUUGAUAGGUCAGRUGUGGAAGUGCAGUAAUGCAUUAAGCUAACUGAUACUAAUUGCCCGUAAGGCUUGUCCCUAUAACCUUGACGGUUAUGUA